GACGAACGCUGGCGGCGUGCCUAAUACAUGCAAGUCGAACGCUGAAGGAGGAGCUUGCUUCUCUGGAUGAGUUGCGAACGGGUGAGUAACGCGUAGGUAACCUGCCUGGUAGCGGCGGAUAACUAUUGGAAACGAUAGCUAAUACCGCAUAAGAGUAGAUGUUGCAUGACAUUUGCUUAAUAGGUGCACUUGCAUCACUACCAUAUGGCCCUGCGUUGUUUUAGCUAGUUGGUGGGGUAACGGCUCACCAAGGCGACGGUACAUAGCCGGCCUGAGAGGGUGAGCGGCCACACUGGGACUGGGACACGGCCCAGAAUCCUACGGGAGGGAGCAAGAGGGAAUCAUCGGCCAUGGACGGAAGUCUGACCGAACAACGCCGCGGGAGUUAAGAAGGUUGUCGGAUCGGAAAGCUCUGUUGUAAGAGAAGAACGAGUGUGAGAGUGGAAAGUUCACACUGUGACGGUAUCUUACCAGAAAGGGACGGCUAACUACGUG
This 495-nucleotide ribosomal RNA is filed under the name uncultured bacterium. RNAcentral's name for it is "partial 16S ribosomal RNA". It matches the Rfam family "Bacterial small subunit ribosomal RNA", at positions 28 to 507 of the family's 1533-position model. The record is from RNAcentral.